This 301-nucleotide ribosomal RNA is filed under the name uncultured bacterium. Its description in RNAcentral is "partial 16S ribosomal RNA". It matches the Rfam family "Bacterial small subunit ribosomal RNA", at positions 509 to 807 of the family's 1533-position model. The record is from RNAcentral.
CAGUAGCCGCGGGAAUACGAAGGGUGCAAGCGUUACUCGGAAUUACUGGGCGUAAAGCGUGCGUAGGUGGUGGUUUAAGUCCGUUGUGAAAGCCCUGGGCUCAACCUGGGAAUUGCAGUGGAUACUGGGUCACUAGAGUGUGGUAGAGGAUAGUGGAAUUUCCGGUGUAGCAGUGAAAUGCGUAGAGAUCGGAAGGAACAUCUGUGGCGAAGGCGACUAUCUGGGCCAACACUGACACUGAGGCACGAAAGCGUGAGGAGCAAACAGGAUUAGAUACCCGAGUAGUCCCUGUCUCUUAUAC